AGUGAACGCUGGCGGUAGGCCUAACACAUGCAAGUCGAACGGCAGCACAGUAAUAGCUUGCUCUUACGGGUGGCGAGUGGCGGACGGGUGAGGAAUACAUCGGAAUCUACUUUUUCGUGGGGGAUAACGUAGGGAAACUUACGCUAAUACCGCAUACGACCUACGGGUGAAAGCAGGGGAUCUUCGGACCUUGCGCGAUUGAAUGAGCCGAUGUCGGAUUAGCUAGUUGGCGGGGUAAAGGCCCACCAAGGCGACGAUCCGUAGCUGGUCUGAGAGGAUGAUCAGCCACACUGGAACUGAGACACGGUCCAGACUCCUCCGGGAGGCAGCAGUGGGGAAUAUUGGACAAUGGGCGCAAGCCUGAUCCAGCCAUACCGCGUGGGUGAAGAAGGCCUUCGGGUUGUAAAGCCCUUUUGUUGGGAAAGAAAAGCAGCAGGUUAAUACCCCGCUGUUCUGACGGUACCCAAAGAAUAAGCACCGGCUAACUUCGUG
This 492-nucleotide ribosomal RNA is filed under the name uncultured bacterium. RNAcentral describes it as "partial 16S ribosomal RNA". It matches the Rfam family "Bacterial small subunit ribosomal RNA", at positions 29 to 507 of the family's 1533-position model. The record is from RNAcentral.